UACGGAGGGAGCUAGCGUUGUUCGGAAUUACUGGGCGUAAAGCGCACGUAGGCGGUUGGUUAAGUUGGAUGUGAAAGCCCCGGGCUCAACCUGGGAAUUGCAUUCAAAACUGGCCAACUAGAAUACGGGAGAGGGGGGUAGAAUUCCAAGUGUAGCGGUGAAAUGCGUAGAGAUUUGGAGGAAUACCAGUGGCGAAGGCGGCCCCCUGGCCCGAUAUUGACGCUGAGGUGCGAAAGCGUGGGGAGCAAACAGG
Molecule: ribosomal RNA, 253 nt
Filed under: uncultured bacterium
Lineage: Bacteria
Description: partial 16S ribosomal RNA
Rfam family: Bacterial small subunit ribosomal RNA
Source: RNAcentral